This 207-nucleotide ribosomal RNA is filed under the name uncultured bacterium. RNAcentral's name for it is "partial 16S ribosomal RNA". It matches the Rfam family "Bacterial small subunit ribosomal RNA", at positions 1286 to 1500 of the family's 1533-position model. The record is from RNAcentral.
UCCCAGUUCGGAUCGGAGCCUGCAACCCGGCUCCGUGAAGCUGGAUUCGCUAGUAAUCGCGCAUCAGCCAUGGCGCGGUGAAUACGUUCCCGGGCCUUGUACACACCGCCCGUCAAGCCAUGGGAGCCGGGGGCGCCUGAAGUGCGGUACCGCGAGGGCCGCCCAAGGGCGAGACCGGUGACUGGGGCUAAGUCGUAACAAGGUAAC